This 774-nucleotide ribosomal RNA is filed under the name uncultured Neocallimastigales. RNAcentral describes it as "partial large subunit ribosomal RNA". It matches the Rfam family "Eukaryotic large subunit ribosomal RNA", at positions 20 to 643 of the family's 3401-position model. Lineage: Eukaryota; Fungi; Neocallimastigomycota; Neocallimastigomycetes; Neocallimastigales. The record is from RNAcentral.
CAUCACUACGCUAGAUGCAUAUCAAUAAGCGGAGGAAAAGAAACUAACAAGGAUUCCCUAGUAACGGCGAGUGAAGCGGGAAGAGCUCAAAUUUGAAAUCUUAAAGGGUUUCCCUUUACGAAUUGUAGUUUAAAGAAGUGUUUUCUGUUGGAGUUUCGGUAAAAGUUCUUUGGAAUAGGACAUCAUAGAGGGUGAGAAUCCCGUAUUUGACCGUUACUUUCCAGCUGUGUGAUACACUUUCAAAGAGUCGGAUUGUUUGGGAAUGCAGUCCAAAAUGGGUGGUAAAUUUCAUCUAAAGCUAAAUAUUGGCGAGAGACCGAUAGCGAACAAGUACCGUGAGGGAAAGAUGAAAAGAACUUUGAAAAGAGAGUUAAACAGUACGUGAAAUUGUCAAAAGGGAAGCGUUUGACACCAGUGUUGUUUAGUUGAAAAUCAAUUCAAUAAUUUUUGAUUUUGAAGUAGUAUUGACUUCAUCAGCUUGCUGCUUUCUUUUCAGGAAUUAUUGAAUGCACUUUUCAGUUAACAAGUCAACAUCAAUUUCUUUUGUUGUAAAAGGGUAAGAGGAAGGUGGCUUACGCUUCGGCGUAAGUGUUUAUAGCCUUUUACCUCUGCAAUCGGAGAGAUUGAGGACAGCAGCGUAGACUCUUCGGGGUUAGAUACACUUGUGCUAAGCUAUAGCCUUGUAUAGACAACUUGUUGACUAUGCUCAGUCAUGUAGCUUACUCGCUUGUGCUAUUUUACCUACGCUUAGGAUGUUGAAGAUAUGCGCGACAC